UGGAGUAUAGCCAAGUAGUAAGCCACGGUUUUUCAUACUGGCAUGCAAAGGUUCGAAUCCUUUUACUCCAU
Molecule: transfer RNA, 71 nt
Filed under: Capsicum annuum
Lineage: Eukaryota; Viridiplantae; Streptophyta; Magnoliopsida; Solanales; Solanaceae
Rfam family: tRNA
About the family: Transfer RNA (tRNA) molecules are approximately 80 nucleotides in length. Their secondary structure includes four short double-helical elements and three loops (D, anti-codon, and T loops).
Source: Rfam by way of RNAcentral